GCUUGCCUUUGGCCCUCAUUCUCGGGUGUGAGCGGUACAGGCCUUGCUCCCCAAGAGUCGGGGAUGGAGAGGACCCUGGCCCGGCCCUCGGAUUACUGUUACGGUUACGGAGAAGUUGAGGCCCAGCCCCUCGCCCUGGGAACCCCGGGCUGAUCCGGGCUUGGGCCUUAGAGGCCAACCAGGUGAUAUCCUAGGUUCAUCUUGAACCCCUUCCUUCCCACACCUACCGCUCUUUCAAAAGAUUGGGUGAAGGGUUGGGGUGAAAAGGGUAGAGACUGGGAAUGAGAACAGCUCCGGAAAGUUCAAACUAGGGACACAUACUUAGUGGCUGGAAUGAGACUCCAAGAGACAGACCGACCCUUGGGGUUUGUUAGGUGUGCCAAGAAGAAAAUUGUGGACCAUACAUUGUCCAUAGUGCUUUAAUUGGCUUAAUGAAAAUAAGCCAGUAGCUUUUCUAUUUUUUAGGAGAAAUCUGGCAAAGGAGAACUCAGGACGUUUUUGCAGGAGAGGAAAUAAAACUCUGAGCCAUUGUUAAAAGGGAAGUUUAAAACUUCCAGCGCUUCAUAGAUUUUAGGCCUCUCAAAAUUGUGGCUGUCAGUUUGUAGUUCAGCCCUCAGAUACCAGCUGCCUCCUGGUUCUGGUGUUGGGUCAGGUGUACAUAUGGCAGCAGAGCAAAUAGCCUGUUGAUAUUUUUAGCUUUCUCAGUUGUUCUUAUUUGCUGAAGUCCUGCAGGGUGCUACAGAAAUGGCUGAGUUGGAGCAUGUAAUUUAGGGGAGGUGGGAAAGAGUUGUAAUUUGGAGCCAGUGAGUGGGAAUGAGUUUGACUGAUUUGCCCUCUCCUCUUUCACCCUCAGCCUAAGUCUUCCACUCCUUUGCACAUUGACCCUAAUUUUUUUUUUUCUAAAGAGACUGAAUUUUAUCACCCUAGAUAUGAAGUUGAGUGAGCUGCCAGUAUAUUUUUAGUUAGAUUCUGUGAUAUCAAAGAGGGUGGUGACUUAGGCAUUGCCGAGUUUCAGCACUGUUCUUUGGCUUCUGAUUUUUGAGAUAACACUUUAGGUUAAAGAGGCUAAUGACCUGUGCCAGGUCACUCACGUGCCCUGCCAUUGGUGCCACCAAGAAUUGAGCCCAGAUCGCCAGUUCUCCUGGUUAUCCAGUGCUGGUUCUUUAUACCAUAUCCUGCUGUCUGCAUUUUGACUGAUACCACUUUUUAUCAGCUUGACAUGUCCAUUAGUGGAAAGAGAUAUUUAUCAUAACAGUUAUCGUUGGUAUUUGUUUAGUGCUUUCCAUAUGCUGAACACAUUGCUUAGUGUUUGCAGUCUCUGAAGGAGAAUUGACAGACAGGGCAGCUGAGGCUUAGAGAGGCCAGGUGACUCGUCCAAGGUCACAUCACUGGUAAACAGAUCACCACGGGUGAUCUUUUGAUUUCCUCCUCUAAGCUUUUUGGACCUACUUGGGGUCCUUGACCUUGUGGCUACCAUACCUAUUUCAAUUCUCUAGGUAUGUCCUUUGGUCUCAGAAAACAUGUGGAAAACAGCCAAGCUUGUCUACUUAUAUUUGUACACAACUCAAUAAAAGCAGGAGUUGUAAAAAUAAAGUUCAUAUGACCUUAAACCUUUACAUUUACAACAUGGCUAAUUCCCGAGAUUAUUAGACAUUAUUCAGAGUGAAAAUUCCAGCAACAGGUUAUAAGCUGUUAGGAACCGAGUUGCCCAGUGCAAGUCAGAGUCUGCUGCUACUUAGACAAAUGGGCCAUUUAUGCACAAAGGACAGUGAGACCUGGCCCUCCAGCUGGCUCUCUUCCUAUGCCUGUCUGAGUGGCCUGCACUGACCAGGAGUGAACUCCUAGUUGAUCCAACAUGAAUUGGAAGGCUCUUGAACACAUGCCCCUGCUCCUGUAUAUCCUGGCAGCGAAAACAUUAAUUCUCUGCCUGGCAUUUGCCGGAGUCAAGAUAUACCAAAGGAAAAGAUUGGAAGCAAAACAGCAAAAACUGGAAGCUGAAAGGAGGAAGCAGGCCGAGAAGAAGGAUAACUAACGGGAGAGGAAAAGAUUGUGUAAUUUAAAUGUCAGCUUGAGUGGACUCCAGCUGAGAAGAAAGCCUUAAUUCCUGAAUUAUGUGUCAGAAGAUGAACUCCCAACCUGUAGCCUAACUUAAAAUGAUGGGAAUUUUUAUAUGCUUUUAAAAGAACCGGUAUUUUAUUUACUUAAAUAAAAUGUCUUUGUAAAAAG
Non-coding RNA from Sus scrofa (pig), 2226 nucleotides. NCBI's taxonomy places the organism in Eukaryota, Metazoa, Chordata, Mammalia, Artiodactyla, Suidae. The record is from RefSeq and is a predicted model, not a curated record.